RNAcentral lists this long non-coding RNA (1961 nucleotides) under Monomorium pharaonis (pharaoh ant). Its description in RNAcentral is "uncharacterized LOC114253779". The record is from RNAcentral. Lineage: Eukaryota; Metazoa; Arthropoda; Insecta; Hymenoptera; Formicidae.
CAGUGUAAGGUCAGAGCGGUCAUGUGAGAAGCGCAUUGUUUACGUCGUCGCCGCGUAAUGUACGGUCGACGCCGGUCGCGGAGCAGCAGGCGUCACGUCCCGUCACGCGCCGUCGUCGUUCAUCGCAGCCAGGCGGAUCUCGCUGUGAAUUUCACGAAUCUCACGACGACCGGGAUUGAUCCCGCUUUUCUCUUUUCUACCCGCGAAGGAGAAUUGAAUCUCACGAACGCGAGAGACGACAGACAGACCGAGCGAGCGACUGACCGACCACAACCGACCGUUGGCGCCGAUCGAGACUUUCGAAAUGAUUGCGAUUAUCGAAGUCGCAAUCGACACGGCCAGCUUCACGGCACCGGUAUGGGAGCUAACCUAACACCGCUAACGCUCGGCGACGAUCGUCGCGAUGACGAUGAUGAUCUCGCCUGGGCGCGUAGCCAUCAUCCCGCCGGGUGCUCGCGCGUGGAAGCGGCGACCUCGCUGCCGCUGCUCAUCGCACGACCACCACGUUCAACCGCCUUCCCCGCGCGCCGUCCAUUUAUAUCGCGAGUAAAAAGUAUAUGUACACGAUCGCGGACGAUUGGCGCCUUUGUUUAACUCCGCGCUAACUUCAUGACGCUCCGCGAGCCCCGCAAGGACGCCGCAUGCGCACGGCGCUACGCCGACGAUCACGUGGCCACCGCGGUAUAAAUCCGUUCAAAUGCCACAUAAAAUUUUCUUAGAUAUAUCAACCGUACGAAUUAAAGAAUGCCUACUGUUUAUGCAUGCAUGAAAAAAGACGUCCUACGCCAAUUCACGCAGCCGUAUUGUUUUGUAUUUUACAUUAUUAGUAUAUAUUUUCUUUCUUACAAGGCUUACUCUUUGGAAUAAAAAAAGAUUCAACUUAAUCGAUUAGUUUUCUAGCAAUUCCUCAUGAUUAUUGGACCCCUUUUCAGGGCCGAGACAUGUAUAUGACUCCUUAAUAGGAGAGAAAGAAAGUUAAAGUAACAAGGGCAAAUAAUAACAGUUAAAUGACAAAUAGUAGUCUCUACUCAGUGAUAUGAAUACUUCAGUAUUUGACUGAUUAAGAACAAAAAAUCUACAGUUCAAAGCAAUUUAAUCUAUUGAUCGAACAUUUUCAAGCACUUACGUAUAUAUCUCUGAUACAGAUUUUCUUAAUAAAAGAAUAACAGAAAUAAAAUAAAAAAGAAUACAUCAAUGAAGCAUUAAACAUAUUUUAGAAAAUAUUUUAUAAAAGAUAACUAAUUAUCUUUAAUUUUCAAGUUUAAUUUACGAUUAAACCCGUAUCUUUUAUUUUUUCAAAUAUGCGUUUAAUUGUAUCCAUAUUUGUGCUUUAUGUAGAAUAGACUGGAUGCAUUCAGCAAACGGAGCGGAUCAUUGAGCGCUUAGUGAUUCUGUAAUGAUUGGUCCUUGUUUUUAGUUCUUUGUUCUUGAAUUUAGAAGCAGAAACAAAUCAUAAUAAAGAAUCACUGAGCGUUUACUGAUCCACUCUGUCUGCUGAACGCGCUCAAAAUAGUCAAAGAAUAGAUCUAAUAAAAUCAUAAAUUGUAUAUAAAAUACGAAAUUUAUAUUAUUUCAAAUUAAAAAAAAUUUUUUAAACUUUUUCCUCUAAUUUAAAAAACAAUUAAACUUUAGUUUAAUUAUAUAAUUCGUAGCAAUAAAAGAUUACAUCUUAUAACUUUCUAGCUAUAGUACAUUUAUACUGAUUAAUUAUAUGAACGCAAUGAGGAUUAGAUUAUUUCAAUAAAUAUAUAAAAGAUAUAUCAAUUGUAAUCAUAUAACAUUUAAUUUAUCGUAUACUUAAGCGUUACUUAUAUAACAAAAGAAUUGACAGUUUAAUAUAGUCAUUAAACUAUUAUUUCCUUGAACUUUUUUUAUAACUAUUUUACAAAAAUAUGUAUUCAUACGUACUUAAAAAUAUGUAACUCAAAGUCAUCAAAUAAAUCAUGACCCAUGUUGCUCCA